AUGGCAAAUUUUCGUGAGGUUUUAUCAGAAUGCAAUUUAUUUGAUUUGGGUUUUUCGGGUGUUCCUUGGACUUGCAAUAACAAGCAGGAAGGUCACAAAAAUGUGAAAGUGUGUCUUGACCGUGCGGUGGCUUGUCCUCGGUGGUCCUCCAUGUUCCCUAAUUGUACGGUGCAACAUAUUAUCAGUUCAAGGUCAGAUCAUUGUCCUCUUCUUAUUCAAGUGAUGGGAGUUCCUCGUCCCGGGAUGCUUAUUAAAAAUCUAAGAUAUGAAGCGUACUGGGAGAGAGAGGCUGGGGUGCUGAAUGAUCAAAUUGAAUUGGUUUGGAAUAAAAGUACGCAUGUCAGUGACCUGGGAGAUGUGGCAAAUAAGUUGGACAGCCUUAUGAAGUCUCUUCAUGGGUGGAGUAAGGAACAUAUUGGUUAUUUGCCCAAAAAGCUUGAAACGACGCGAAAGAGAUUAAAUUUGCUCUUCAAAAGAAAUGACCAUACUGCUGUUAUGGAAAGGAAGAAAAUCCUGGCGGAGAUGGAUGAACUUUUGAUUAAGGAAGAAAUCAUGUGGAAGCAGAGAUCUUGUUUGGACAAAAUGAAAUGGGGUGAUAGGAAUACAAAAUUCUUUCAGCGAAAGGCCACAUGGAGAGCUAAGAAGAAUAAUAUCUUGGCCCUUAAAAGGAGCGACAGGUCCCUCUCUCAUGAUGUGGACGAGAUGAAAGGUAUCACAAACUCUUUUUUUAAGAAUCUCUACUCUUGUGACAAGACAGUAAACCCUUCUUAUAUUAUCUCUCUUGUGAAACCUCUGGUGAAUGAUGAGAUGAAUGAGGAUCUUUGUAAGCCUUUUUUUGAACAAGAGAUUAGUGAUGCGCUCUUUCAAAUUAGUCCGUUGAAGGCUCAAGGGCCAGGUGGGUUUCCAGCUGGCUUUUUCCAGAGGAAUUGGGGUUUGCUAAAGGAAGAUAUUGUUCGUGCAGUUCAACAAUUCUUUAUAUCGGGAUGUAUGCCGGAGGGGAUAAAUAAUACAACUAUUGUGCUUAUUCCGAAAGUGAAGAACCCCCAGUCGAUAAAAGAUUUUCGGCCAAUCAGUCUAUGCAAUGUCAUAUAUAAAAUUAUCUCCAAGUGUCUUGUCAACAGACUGAGACCUCUGUUGGACGGUAUGAUUUCUCCAACCCAAAGUGCGUUCAUCCCUGGAAGAUUAAUUUCUGAUAAUGCUCUUAUAGCUUUUGAAUGUAUGCAUUCGUUGAGUACGCUAAAAGACAGCCGAGGUGAAUAUUGUGUGUACAAGCUGGACCUAGCCAAGGCAUAUGAUCGUGUAGACUGGAGGUUCUUGGAAAGUAUGCUUCGGGCAUAUGGUUUUGCUCCAGUGUGGGUUAAGUGGAUUAUGAUCUGUGUGACGUCAGUGAAAUUUUCUGUGCGGUUUAAUGGUCAGUUGUUAGAUUCGUUCCAACCUUCUUGUGGCCUCAGGCAAGGGGAUCCUCUAUCUCCUUACCUUUUCCUAUUUGUGGCUGAGGCUCUUUCGUUGUUACUCCAUGAUGCUACGGCGAAGGGGGUUAUUCAAGAUUUUCGGCUGAACAGACAUGCUCCAGGGGUCUCACAUUUAUUAUUUGCGGAUGAUAGCCUCCUAUUUUUAAGGGUUCUUUGGAGCAAGCUCUGGUCAUUAAACAGAUUUUGGCUGCUUAUGAGGAGGGGACGGGUCAAUUGCUAA
This 1692-nucleotide ribosomal RNA is filed under the name Triticum aestivum (bread wheat). RNAcentral describes it as "partial small subunit ribosomal RNA". Lineage: Eukaryota; Viridiplantae; Streptophyta; Magnoliopsida; Poales; Poaceae. The record is from RNAcentral.